UUUAUAAUAGUUUAAGUAAAACGUAUCAUUUUCAAUGAUGAGAAGAUUAUUAAAAUCUUAUAAUU
RNAcentral lists this transfer RNA (65 nucleotides) under Falcolipeurus suturalis. RNAcentral's name for it is "tRNA-Glu". Lineage: Eukaryota; Metazoa; Arthropoda; Insecta; Psocodea; Philopteridae. The record is from RNAcentral.